GAUGAACGCUAGCGGCAGGCCUAAUACAUGCAAGACGAACGGUAAGUUGAGUAGCAAUACUUAGCCAAGAGUGUCGUACGGGUGCGUAACACGUAUGCAACCUACCCUAUACAGGAGGAUAGCCUAGGGAAACCUGGAUUAACCCUUCAUAGUAUUAUUGGAUGGCAUCAUUUGAUAAUUAAAACUGAGGUGGUAUAGGAUGGGCAUGCGUCUGAUUAGUUAGUUGGCGGGUAAUGGCCCACCAAGACGAUGAUCAGUAGGGGUUCUGAGAGGAAGAUCCCCCCACACUGGCACUGAGAUACGGGCCAGACUCCGUACGGGAGGCAGCAGUAGGGAAUAUUGGGUCAAUGGAUGCAAGUCUGAACCAGCCAUGCCGCGUGCAGGAAGAAGGCCUUCUGGGUUGU
Molecule: ribosomal RNA, 404 nt
Filed under: uncultured bacterium
Lineage: Bacteria
Description: bacterial SSU rRNA
Rfam family: Bacterial small subunit ribosomal RNA
Source: RNAcentral